CCUACGGGGGGCAGCAGUAGGGAAUAUUGGACAAUGGGUGCGAGCCUGAUCCAGCCAUGCCGCGUGCAGGAAGAAGGCCUUCUGGGUUGUAAACUGCUUUUGCCGGGGGAUAAAAGACCCAUGCGUGGGGAAUUGAAGGUACCCGGUGAAUAAGCCACGGCUAACUACGUGCCAGCAGCCGCGGUAAUACGUAGGUGGCGAGCGUUGUCCGGAUUUAUUGGGUUUAAAGGGUGCGUAGGCGGCCCCGUAAGUCAGUGGUGAAAUACGGCAGCUCAACUGUCGAGGUGCCAUUGAUACUGCGGGGCUUGAGUACAGUCGAGGUAGGCGGAAUUGACGGUGUAGCGGUGAAAUGCUUAGAUAUCGUCAAGAACACCGAUAGCGAAGGCAGCUUGCUAGGCUGUAACUGACGCUGAGGCACGAAAGUGCGGGGAUCAAACAGGAUUAGAUACCCUGGUAGUCCGCACAGUAAACGAUGGUCACUCGGUGUUGGCGGUACACGGCCAGCGCCUUAGCGAAAGCGUUAAGUGACCCACCUGGGGAGUACGCCCGCAAGGGUGAAACUCAAAGGAAUUGACGG
This 577-nucleotide ribosomal RNA is filed under the name uncultured bacterium. RNAcentral's name for it is "bacterial SSU rRNA". It matches the Rfam family "Bacterial small subunit ribosomal RNA", at positions 338 to 916 of the family's 1533-position model. The record is from RNAcentral.